CCGGACCUGACUGCUAUCGGAUUGGUACUAAGCCAUGCGAGUCAUUGUAGCAAUACAAGGCGGACGGCUCAGUAACACGUAGUCAACCUAACCUAUGGACGUGGAUAACCUCGGGAAACUGAGAAUAAACCGCGAUAGAUCAUUAUGCCUGGAAUGGCUUAUGGUUCAAACAAUUUAUUGCCGUAGGAUGGGACUGCGGCCUAUCAGCUUGUUGGUGAGGUAAUGGCCCACCAAGGCUAUAACAGGUACGGGCUCUGAGAGGAGAAGCCCGGAGAUGGGUACUGAGACACGGACCCAGGCCCUAUGGGGCGCAGCAGGCGAGAAACCUUAGCAAUGUGCGAAAGCACGACUAGGUUAAUCCGAGUGAUUCCUGUUGAAGGAAUCUUUUGUCAGUCGUAAAACCACAGACGAAUAAGGGGUGGGCAAGUCUGGUGUCAGCCGCCGCGGUAAUACCAGCACCUCGAGUGGUCAGGAGGUUUAUUGGGCCUAAAGCAUCCGUAGCCGGCUUUGCAAGUCUCCGGUUAAAUCCAGCUGCUCAACAGAUGGGCUGCCGGAGAUACUACACAGCUAGGGAGCGGGAGAGGCAGACGGUAUUCUGUGGGUAGGGGUAAAAUCCAUUGAUCCAUAGAGGACCACCAGUGGCGAAGGCGGUCUGCCAGAACGCGUUCGACGGUGAGGGAUGAAAGCUGGGGGAGCAAACCGGAUUAGAUACCCGGGUAGCCCCAGCUGUAAACGAUGCAAACUCGGUGAUGCAUUGGCUUAUGGCCAAUGCAGUGCCGCAGGAAGCCGUUAAGUUUGCCGCCUGGGAGUACGGACGCAAGUCUGAA
This 827-nucleotide ribosomal RNA is filed under the name uncultured archaeon. RNAcentral describes it as "bacterial SSU rRNA". It matches the Rfam family "Archaeal small subunit ribosomal RNA", at positions 17 to 853 of the family's 1478-position model. The record is from RNAcentral.